UACGAAUGGAGCAAGCGUUGUUCGGAAUCACUGGGCUUAAAGCGUGCGUAGGCGGAAACAUAAGUCAGGAGUGAAAUCCCGGGGCUCAACCCCGGAACUGCUCUUGAAACUACGUUUCUAGAAUCCGAUAGAGGUCAGGAGAAUUCCCAGUGUAGAGGUGAAAUUCGCAGAUAUUGGGAGGAAUACCAGUGGCGUAGGCGCCUGACUGGGUCGGUAUUGACGCUGAGGCACGAAAGCGUGGGGAGCAAACAGG
RNAcentral lists this ribosomal RNA (253 nucleotides) under uncultured bacterium. Its description in RNAcentral is "partial 16S ribosomal RNA". It matches the Rfam family "Bacterial small subunit ribosomal RNA", at positions 524 to 776 of the family's 1533-position model. The record is from RNAcentral.